Molecule: ribosomal RNA, 231 nt
Filed under: uncultured bacterium
Lineage: Bacteria
Description: partial 16S ribosomal RNA
Rfam family: Bacterial small subunit ribosomal RNA
Source: RNAcentral
CGGAAUUAUUGGGCGUAAAGCGCGUGUAGGCGUCUUUGCAAGUCGGGUGUGAAAGCCCUCAGCUCAACUGAGGAAGUGCGCCCGAAACUGCAGAGCUUGAGUACCGGAGAGGAUGGCGGAAUUCCCCAAGUAGAGGUGAAAUUCGUAGAUAUGGGGAGGAACACCGGUGGCGAAGGCGGCAAUCUGGACGGAUACUGACGCUGAGACGCGAAAGCGUGGGGAGCAAACAGG